RNAcentral lists this ribosomal RNA (411 nucleotides) under Verrucomicrobiota bacterium. RNAcentral describes it as "Verrucomicrobia bacterium partial 16S ribosomal RNA". It matches the Rfam family "Bacterial small subunit ribosomal RNA", at positions 355 to 776 of the family's 1533-position model. Lineage: Bacteria; Pseudomonadati; Verrucomicrobiota. The record is from RNAcentral.
UGGGGAAUAUUGCACAAUGGGCGCAAGCCUGAUGCAGCGACGCCGCGUGGGGGAUGACGGCCUUCGGGUUGUAAACUCCUUUCGCUAGGGACGAAGCUUUUUGUGACGGUACCUAGAUAAGAAGCACCGGCUAACUACGUGCCAGCAGCCGCGGUAAUACGUAGGGUGCGAGCGUUGUCCGGAAUUACUGGGCGUAAAGGGCUCGUAGGUGGUUUGUCGCGUCGUCUGUGAAAUUCCGGGGCUUAACUCCGGGCGUGCAGGCGAUACGGGCAUAACUUGAGUACUGUAGGGGUAACUGGAAUUCCUGGUGUAGCGAUGAAAUGCGCAGAUAUCAGGAGGAACACCGAUGGCGAAGGCAGGUUACUGGGCAGUUACUGACGCUGAGGAGCGAAAGCAUGGGUAGCGAACAGG